UACGUAGGGAGCAAGGCGUUGUCCGGAAUCAUUGGGCGUAAAGCGCGCGUAGGCGGCCUCAUAAGUCCGUUGUGAAAGUCAAAGGCUCAACCGUUUGAAAGCCCGGAUGGAUACUGUGAGGCUAGAGUCCGGAAGAGGCGAGUGGAAUCCUGGUGUAGCGGUGGAAUGCGCAGAUAUCAGGAGGAACACCGAUGGCGAAGGCAGGUCUCUGGGCCAUUACUGACACUGAGAAGCGAAAAGCAUGGGGGAGCGAACAGG
Molecule: ribosomal RNA, 258 nt
Filed under: uncultured bacterium
Lineage: Bacteria
Description: partial 16S ribosomal RNA
Rfam family: Bacterial small subunit ribosomal RNA
Source: RNAcentral